Molecule: ribosomal RNA, 465 nt
Filed under: Vreelandella stevensii
Lineage: Bacteria; Pseudomonadati; Pseudomonadota; Gammaproteobacteria; Oceanospirillales; Halomonadaceae
Description: partial 16S ribosomal RNA
Rfam family: Bacterial small subunit ribosomal RNA
Source: RNAcentral
CCUACGGGGGGCAGCAGUGGGGAAUAUUGGACAAUGGGGGGAACCCUGAUCCAGCCAUGCCGCGUGUGUGAAGAAGGCCCUCGGGUUGUAAAGCACUUUCAGUGAGGAAGAACGCCUGGUGGUUAAUACCCAUCAGGAAAGACAUCACUCACAGAAGAAGCACCGGCUAACUCCGUGCCAGCAGCCGCGGUAAUACGGAGGGUGCGAGCGUUAAUCGGAAUUACUGGGCGUAAAGCGCGCGUAGGUGGCUUGAUAAGCCGGUUGUGAAAGCCCCGGGCUCAACCUGGGAACGGCAUCCGGAACUGUCAAGCUAGAGUGCAGGAGAGGAAGGUAGAAUUCCCGGUGUAGAGGUGAAAUGCGUAGAGAUCGGGAGGAAUACCAGUGGCGAAGGCGGCCUUCUGGACUGACACUGACACUGAGGUGCGAAAGCGUGGGUAGCAAACAGGAUUAGAUACCCGGGUAGUC